AGGUCCAAGACCUCCCUCUGCUCAGGUCUAACAGAAGAGACUGGCAGGACAUACAGCAAUCUCCCUCUCAGUUUAGGAGGGCUGUCCUAAGAACAGGGCUGGCUCUUAAAGGCAUGAGAGGACAAU
Molecule: small nucleolar RNA, 126 nt
Organism: Camelus ferus (Wild Bactrian camel)
Lineage: Eukaryota; Metazoa; Chordata; Mammalia; Artiodactyla; Camelidae
Rfam family: Small Cajal body specific RNA 11
About the family: scaRNAs are a specific class of small nuclear RNAs which localise to the Cajal bodies and guide the modification of RNA polymerase II transcribed spliceosomal RNAs U1, U2, U4, U5 and U12. ACA57 belongs to the H/ACA box class of guide RNAs as it has the predicted hairpin-hinge-hairpin-tail structure, conserved H/ACA-box motifs and is found associated with GAR1. ACA57 is predicted to guide the pseudouridylation of the U5 spliceosomal RNA at position U43.
Source: Rfam